CGGACGGGUGAGUAAUGUCUGGGAAACUGCCUGAUGGAGGGGGAUAACUACUGGAAACGGUAGCUAAUACCGCAUAACGUCGCAAGACCAAAGAGGGGGACCUUCGGGCCUCUUGCCAUCAGAUGUGCCCAGAUGGGAUUAGCUAGUAGGUGGGGUAACGGCUCACCUAGGCGACGAUCCCUAGCUGGUCUGAGAGGAUGACCAGCCACACUGGAACUGAGACACGGCCCAGACUCCUACGGGAGGCAGCAUG
RNAcentral lists this ribosomal RNA (253 nucleotides) under uncultured bacterium. RNAcentral's name for it is "partial 16S ribosomal RNA". It matches the Rfam family "Bacterial small subunit ribosomal RNA", at positions 99 to 353 of the family's 1533-position model. The record is from RNAcentral.